RNAcentral lists this transfer RNA (83 nucleotides) under Fidelibacterota bacterium. RNAcentral's name for it is "tRNA-Leu". It matches the Rfam family "tRNA". From Rfam's summary of the family: Transfer RNA (tRNA) molecules are approximately 80 nucleotides in length. Their secondary structure includes four short double-helical elements and three loops (D, anti-codon, and T loops). Further hydrogen bonds mediate the characteristic L-shaped molecular structure. tRNAs have two regions of fundamental functional importance: the anti-codon, which is responsible for specific mRNA codon recognition, and the 3' end, to which the tRNAs corresponding amino acid is attached (by aminoacyl-tRNA synthetases). tRNAs cope with the degeneracy of the genetic code in two manners: having more than one tRNA (with a specific anti-codon) for a particular amino acid; and 'wobble' base-pairing, i.e. permitting non-standard base-pairing at the 3rd anti-codon position. Lineage: Bacteria; Pseudomonadati; Fidelibacterota. The record is from RNAcentral.
GCCCGGGUGGUGAAAUUGGCAGACGCGCUAGGUUCAGGGUCUAGUCUCCGACGGAGGUGCGAGUUCGAGUCUCGCCCCGGGCA